Molecule: transfer RNA, 64 nt
Filed under: Dipodomys ordii (Ord's kangaroo rat)
Lineage: Eukaryota; Metazoa; Chordata; Mammalia; Rodentia; Heteromyidae
Rfam family: tRNA
About the family: Transfer RNA (tRNA) molecules are approximately 80 nucleotides in length.
Source: Rfam by way of RNAcentral
GGUGACUCAGUGAUAGAGUGCUUGCCUUGUAUGCAUGAGGCCUGGGUUCAAUUCCUUAGCACCA